RNAcentral lists this ribosomal RNA (256 nucleotides) under uncultured bacterium. RNAcentral describes it as "partial 16S ribosomal RNA". It matches the Rfam family "Bacterial small subunit ribosomal RNA", at positions 99 to 353 of the family's 1533-position model. The record is from RNAcentral.
CGGACGGGUGAGUAACGCGUGGGUAACCUGCCUUGUACUGGGGGACAACAGUUAGAAAUGACUGCUAAUACCGCAUAAGCGCACAGUAUCGCAUGAUACAGUGUGAAAAACUCCGGUGGUAUGAGAUGGACCCGCGUCUGAUUAGCCAGUUGGUGGGGUAACGGCCUACCAAAGCGACGAUCAGUAGCCGACCUGAGAGGGUGACCGGCCACAUUGGGACUGAGACACGGCCCAAACUCCUACGGGAGGCAGCAUG